ACCCACCAAAUUGGAUAGGCCCAAAUAAGAGUUAGUCAACUUCAGCCCAAGAAAUGAGACUAUGUGAAGGAAUGAGUUACUAUUAAUACUGUAAUAGGGUUAUUUUGUGAGUUAUGUGAAUUGUGAAGUUUGUUAUUCUCUCCCUCUAAACUCUCUAUGUUCACAUCUUGUAUCCUUCCAGUCACUAGAGUUGGAUUUAAUUUCCA
Molecule: long non-coding RNA, 206 nt
Filed under: Trifolium pratense (red clover)
Lineage: Eukaryota; Viridiplantae; Streptophyta; Magnoliopsida; Fabales; Fabaceae
Description: long non-coding RNA (TPRA_LNC006933)
Source: RNAcentral